UAGGGAAUAUUGGGCAAUGGGUGAGAGCCUGACCCAGCCAUGCCGCGUGUAGGAAGACGGCCCUACGGGUUGUAAACUACUUUUAUAUAGGAACAAAAAGAAUCUUGCGAGAUUUACUGAGGGUACUAUAUGAAUAAGCACCGGCUAACUCCGUGCCAGCAGCCGCGGUAAUACGGAGGGUGCAAGCGUUGUCCGGAUUUAUUGGGUUUAAAGGGUACGUAGGCGGAUUGUUAAGUCUGUGGUGAAAGCUCUCGGCUCAACCGGGAAAUUGCCAUGGAUACUGACAGUCUUGAGUACAGUUGAGGUGGGCGGAAUUCAUGGUGUAGCGGUGAAAUGCAUAGAUACCAUGAGGAACGCCGAUAGGGAAGCCAGCUCACUGGACUGUAACUGACGCUGAGGUACGAAAGCGUGGGGAGCGAACAGGAUUAGAUACCCCCGUAGUCC
This 444-nucleotide ribosomal RNA is filed under the name uncultured prokaryote. RNAcentral's name for it is "bacterial SSU rRNA". It matches the Rfam family "Bacterial small subunit ribosomal RNA", at positions 355 to 796 of the family's 1533-position model. The record is from RNAcentral.